GGUGGUGUGGUGUAAUGGUAGCACGUGACGUUGUGGUUUAUCUUUAAUUGGAUUUCUCACGAAUGAUUCCGUUUCAAUCUGGGUUCGAUUCCCAGCACCGCCA
RNAcentral lists this transfer RNA (103 nucleotides) under Sclerotinia sclerotiorum 1980 UF-70. RNAcentral's name for it is "tRNA-His for anticodon GUG". It matches the Rfam family "tRNA". From Rfam's summary of the family: Transfer RNA (tRNA) molecules are approximately 80 nucleotides in length. Their secondary structure includes four short double-helical elements and three loops (D, anti-codon, and T loops). Further hydrogen bonds mediate the characteristic L-shaped molecular structure. tRNAs have two regions of fundamental functional importance: the anti-codon, which is responsible for specific mRNA codon recognition, and the 3' end, to which the tRNAs corresponding amino acid is attached (by aminoacyl-tRNA synthetases). tRNAs cope with the degeneracy of the genetic code in two manners: having more than one tRNA (with a specific anti-codon) for a particular amino acid; and 'wobble' base-pairing, i.e. permitting non-standard base-pairing at the 3rd anti-codon position. The record is from Rfam by way of RNAcentral. Lineage: Eukaryota; Fungi; Ascomycota; Leotiomycetes; Helotiales; Sclerotiniaceae.